Molecule: ribosomal RNA, 433 nt
Filed under: uncultured bacterium
Lineage: Bacteria
Description: partial 16S ribosomal RNA
Rfam family: Bacterial small subunit ribosomal RNA
Source: RNAcentral
AACGAACGCCGGCGGCAUGCCUAACACAUGCAAGUCGAACGAGACCUUCGGGUCUAGUGGCGCACGGGUGAGUAACGCGUGGGAACCUGCCCUUAGGUUCGGAAUAACUCCCCGAAAGGGGUGCUAAUACCGGAUAAUGUCUUCGGACCAAAGAUUUAUCGCCUUUGGAUGGGCCCGCGUUGGAUUAGCUAGUUGGUAGGGUAAAAGCCUACCAAGGCGACGAUCCAUAGCUGGUCUGAGAGGAUGAUCAGCCACACUGGGACUGAGACACGGCCCAGACUCCUACGGGAGGCAGCAGUGGGGAAUAUUGGACAAUGGGCGAAAGCCUGAUCCAGCAAUGCCGCGUGAGUGAUGAAGGCCUUAGGGUUGUAAAGCUCUUUUACCCGGGAUGAUAAUGACAGUACCGGGAGAAUAAGCUCCGGCUAACUCCGUG